AGCGCGAUGGCUGAGUGGUUAAGGUGUUGGACUUAAGUUCCAAAGGGCGCAAGUCUUGGCGGGUUCGAACAACACUCGCGCUA
Molecule: non-coding RNA, 83 nt
Organism: Angiostrongylus cantonensis (rat lungworm)
Lineage: Eukaryota; Metazoa; Nematoda; Chromadorea; Rhabditida; Metastrongylidae
Source: Rfam